CUCCCGUCCUCCGUCAUUCAGAUAACCCGGACGUGAAGCCGCUCCAUAGAAAAAUAUCCGAUACGGUAAAACAACUUACCUUCAAAAAAAGAUCUCUUUUUUGUAUCAUUGAAAAUCAAAACUCAUAGACGCACUCCACACAAUCUGUGAAGCUGAGAACUUCUGUUGGAGGGAGAGAAAGACUGCCACGUGAUGCCACAUCUCUGCCUCAUCACCAGUAGACCACGUGCCAGCAUCCAAGAGGUGAAGGACUCACACCGAGAGCACAAACAGACUUGUCUGCCAAGUUAAAACGCACCGCCACACACCUCUCUCUCAGGUGCGUGUAGUACGGAUGACCCUGUGGUGAUCACAGGCUUGAGUGCAUUACUACC
Molecule: long non-coding RNA, 374 nt
Organism: Sinocyclocheilus anshuiensis
Lineage: Eukaryota; Metazoa; Chordata; Actinopteri; Cypriniformes; Cyprinidae
Source: Ensembl